This is a non-coding RNA of Trachymyrmex cornetzi, 46 nucleotides long. NCBI's taxonomy places the organism in Eukaryota, Metazoa, Arthropoda, Insecta, Hymenoptera, Formicidae. The record is from Rfam.
AAAACGGUCCUUUUCAGGGCCAAUUUUAAUUUAUAGAAGAUUUAAU